RNAcentral lists this long non-coding RNA (2738 nucleotides) under Macaca fascicularis (crab-eating macaque). RNAcentral's name for it is "lncRNA (ENSMFAG00000065410.1)". The record is from RNAcentral. Lineage: Eukaryota; Metazoa; Chordata; Mammalia; Primates; Cercopithecidae.
CUAAGGGUUCUUUAUGAAAAAAUUGGGAGAGUCAGAGUCAGGGACGAUGUGACCACAGAAGAAGCCUGGGUUAUGUGAGACCAAGUCAGGGAAUGCUGGUGGUCUCUAGAAGCUGAAGAGGUCGGGAGACAGACCCUUCCCUAGAACCUUCAGAAGGAAUGCUGCCCUGCCAACAUUUUGACUUCAGCUUAGAGAGUCAAACUUUGAACUUCUGACCUCCAGAAUGGUAAACUAAUACACUUGUGCAGCUCUAAUCCACCAUGUUUAUGGCAGUUCGUUACAGCAGUAGUAAGAAACUUAUAUGCUGACCACAGCUGAGCCUCAGGUUCUGGACUGGAAGCUGAGCAAGCACUGGCUGCCUUUGAUUCACUUGACAAUUCUAUGAGGUUUAAGGUAUGAUUCUCAUUUCACAGAUGAAAACGACGAGACUCAGGGAAGCAUUGAAUAGACUUCCUAGACUGCCUAAGCAGUGUGGUCAGUAUGGAUGCAGCUGGCACAUGGAGGCCACCAGGAAGCCUGUGCUUCUAACCAUCAUGAGAACUGCCUCCACCUGGAUCCUGGCAACCAGCCCCAGGAAUAAGUCCUCCACACAUCCUUUAAGGAUUACAAAAGGUGGUGAUAUUAUCCAGCAAAGUAAUGAAUCAACAUAACAGCUGGGAUGUUUGACUUUCACACACUGGCUUUCAUUAGGCAAAACAUUAUUGAUCAAGUGACUCUCAUGUAUAUAAUAUAUAUGUGCUGUCUGGAUUAUACAUGUAAAACAUACCUGAGCUUCUUUAUUUACAGGGAGUCAAAAAGGGGAUCAAGGAAGUGCAAUUAAAAAGAGUAUUUCUUUUCAUAACUCUCUUCUUUACCGACUCUUCACAUGUUUCUGCUAUGUUUGGGCAAAGGGUUUUAAUCUGCAUCCAAGGAAGGGCAGUGCUGUUGAAAGCUGAUGAAAUGAUGUUUGUUUCAACUUCAUUCAGUUAUGGGGGGGACGAUUAAAGAAAGAGGCCGGGCGCAGUUGCUCAUGCCUGUAAUCCCAGCAUUUUGGGAGGCUGAGACGGGUGGAUCACCUGAGAUCAGGAGUUUGACAUCAGCCUGGCUAACAUGGUAAAACCCUGUUUCUACUAAAAAUAUAAAAAAUUAACCAGGCAUGGUGAUGCCACCUGUAAUCCCAACUACUUGGGAGGCUGAGACAGGAGAAUCGCUUGAACCCGGGAGGCGGAGGUUACAGUGAGCCAGGAUUGCACCAUUGCACUCCAGCUUGGGCAACGAGGGUGAAACUCCAUCAAAAAAAAGAAAGAGAGAGAGAGAAAGAGAGAGGAAGGAAGGAAGGAGGAAACGAAGGAAGGAGGAAAGGAAGGAAGGAAGGAUGGAAGGAAGGAAGGAAAUAAAGGAGGGUUAAAAAGAAAAAAGAGGAGUGUCUAAAGAGACUAUGGAUAAAUAAUGAGAAAACCAGUGGAGAUGACUCUGCAACAGAAUCUUAGGAAGAGGAACUCAAAGCUCACUAACAAAAGCUUAUAAAUUGUGAAUAUUGGGCUUGAGUAAAAGGCAAUUCCUGCUAAAAUCACAACAGGCUUCUCUUUAUUUUAUUCUCCUAUUUUUAAGUCCUAGUGUAUUUAUCAGCUCAACUUUUCAUAAUUCUGUUUUUAAAAAGUCAAAUAAAUCUUUAUUGGUUACAAGGUCAUUUUGUUUCACAGAUAUUAUUUUAUAAAUGUAACCUUGAUUCUUUUAUUAUUGUUAUCCACAUCCAAUAAUAAAACAAAAUUUUAAAAGGUGACUUUUUGCUGUUUCACAUGACACUCAGGCAUCUUAACCCUUUGUUAGACAAACACACGUAUACACACAGAACUGAAUGCCUGUGCUCACCCUUGCUGACAUUAAGAACUUGGUCUUGCACUGUUUUUAAAUACUUAGGUCAUUAUUCAUAAAUCUUCUCCUCUUUAGAUAUAAUUCUUGAUUCUUUUUAAUGUAAAAGUUAAAUAAUACUUUAUAUAAAUUAUAAGUUAGAUUUGAAUGCUUUAAACUGAACCAAUACUAUAAAGUUCAGUUAUGCUAUUUUUGAGCUAUUCAUAAAGACAGUUUUCAAUACCCUUGUGUUAUAGAAGGAUUAAAUUAUAGCUUUGCAGUAGAUUAGGUUUCUUUGUAUUACCGUAUUUACACAUCUGGUUGGUCUAUUAUGCAUUUUUUUCUAUAUUAUCUUAUAAACUGAUUAGGACAUAACUCUUUCUCUAUUGUGUUCAUAAGAGCCCAUCAUAGUAUGGAUUUAAGAAGCAAAAUUAAAUACCCAAUAUCUCUGGCUUAGAAAAUCAUUGGUUCUCAAUUGCUGCAUUGUAAUUCUGUGUAUAGAUUUACCCACCUACACUGGGCUUUAAAAAGAAAAUGCAAUUAAACACGUAGAUAGCUGUGAACAAGGAAUUAUGUUCUACCAAUAGUAGUGAGUAAACUUUGCCCAUUCCUGACCCUAAAGACCAUAUUUGAGCUUCACUGUAGAAAGACUUGGAUGAUACUCUUAUGUUUUCAUAUAAUACGUAAUAUAUAAGAAUGUUCACAGAUCAGUUGGCAUUUCUUUUGGCUGUAAGAAGCUGAGCCUUUGUGUCCUAAAAUUAUAGGUAUAUAAUCCUCAAAUCUGCUGUGUGGCCAAAACAAAACAACAAAACAAAAUAAAAAAAAAAUAAAAAAGUUGAGCGUGCUCCUUUUGUUUGUUGAAGACUCAAUAUGCAUUAUGAAAGCAAAAUGUUUAGUAUUUCACUAAA